GCAGACUAUGAUACAAGUGAUGUUGAAGGUCCAUAUUAUGACAAACCAGAACCAGAUUAUGAUGAAAGGGCAAAUAAAGGUAACAUGGAUUCAAACAUAGGAGCUGGUCUUAACAUGGGUCAGCAAUUUACGAAUUUCAUGAACUGGUUUUUUUCCUAUUGGUGAGAAAGUACAAUAAAGAUAGCUCAAAAGCAUGAAAACCCGGACAUCCGGAAAAAAAAUUGUCUAACCAGUCACAAAUUGUAAAAUAUCUUCCUCAUAGUAAGUGUUAAAAAAUUUCAGAACCACGUGCAUCGGUUUCUAGUAAAAAGGGUGAAUAGGGGGAGAAAUUUAGAUAUUGCUAAUUAGACAAAAAAAAUCAUUGUUCCAACGUAUUUUUCUUUUACGCUGAAUCAAAUAAUAUCAUAUAAAACCAGUAAUUCAAAAGUUACAAUGAUUUUACGAACAUAAAGUGGUUUAACAAACAGUACCUAUUUACUCAUCUGUCAUCACUCCCAGGACAAAUGAUACACUUUUUCCUAUGCAUUUAGUCACAUUGAACUGAACGAAACUAACAUGAGGUAAUGGGACCAAUAGUCCGAACAUAUCAAGGAAUUUUGUGUAUAAAAAGUACCAUUAUUUACUUUUACUUAUUUAAACUUUUUUUUCUGAACUAUUUUAUCAACUCAGUUACGAUUCAGUGUGAAAAAUACACAAAAACAAUUCUUUGUUUGCCUGGACAGCAGUUUUUAAGUUUCGCCUUCUGUUUAUCCUUUCUCUCAAAACUCGACUCGCCAACUCACUCAACUUAUUCUCACUUACUAUAAGGAGGAUUUUUAGCAGUUUUUUCCUGGGUAGUACUUUUUUCGAAUGCCAGAUUUUUACAGUUCAUGAAGUCAAACAAAGACAUAACUGUUCAAAGACAAGAUUUGCCAGUUCUUGGACAAAUGCAAUGCUUCAUGCUGCAGUGAAUAUCUAUACAAGAUCAUUUUAAAAACAAAACUUGUAGACUUGAAUUUAUAAGCACCAUAUAGGAAAUAAAAACUUUCUUUAAUA
Molecule: non-coding RNA, 1035 nt
Organism: Parasteatoda tepidariorum (common house spider)
Lineage: Eukaryota; Metazoa; Arthropoda; Arachnida; Araneae; Theridiidae
Source: RefSeq, a predicted model, not a curated record